Long non-coding RNA from Culex pipiens pallens (northern house mosquito), 1322 nucleotides. RefSeq lists it as uncharacterized. Lineage: Eukaryota; Metazoa; Arthropoda; Insecta; Diptera; Culicidae. The record is from RefSeq and is a predicted model, not a curated record. The transcript has 2 exons.
AUUUGAUUCCAACGAAGCUGAGUCACAGUUUAAGCGCCAGCUGCCAUAAGAUAAGAAAAUACAACUAACACAGUAAAAAAUUGAGUAUAUUUGGAAGGUGUAAUUUAGUAAGGUUGAAUAUUACCUCUUUUAUCAUGUAAAAUUACACAUUUUCAAUGGUAUUUUUUAUCGGUCACUAUCGGAAUAUGCAAUGAACCCUAUCAUCCGACGUAUCAAACUUCAUGAAAUUGAAAGUUAUGACCAUCUGAGAUCAUGCCGAUGUCCCCUGACCCAACUUGGUCACUCCGGAACCGGUUACCGGUGGUCACUUGGCGACACUAUCGGAAUAUGCACGUCCAAUUUCCCAUAAGUUUUCCCUUGACAGCAUUUCAAUUGGAUGUAAGGGCUUACAUAAGUUACGGAAAUUGCUUUCCGCAUAAUUGAUCGACGCCACCAACAUCGUCAGCACAGCCGGCAACAGUAACCCAAACUGCUAACAAAGCUAAACUUCGUUUACCUCGCCGCGAUUGAAGCAAGUCGCUCGAUUAAUGCUUUGCAAGCAAAACCUCAGUACCUCGUGUGUGAGGCUCUGGGGGACUUUUCGAUCGCAAUAAAAUCAGAACGUUUUGGACAGUCUAACACAACGCGUCGGCGUUAUUUAUUUCGAAACUUCCCCCCUUUCAUAAUGGGAUCUUUAUAACUGGCGCAGUCGAGUCUUCGCCGGAAGGUGGCUGUGCCCAGUGAUUGAAGUGGUCGUUCGCGAAAAUCUCGGUAGUGAGACCAAAAGUGCAAGUUAAUGCGAAAAACACGGCAGUUGUUCAUUCAGCAGAAAUUCGUCACCAACGGCUCUGGAGAUCAGGAGUGAAGCCGCCAAGGAAAUUACCUGGUGAAGCAGCCACCGACCGAAGAAGAUGAACCAACGUUAUCCGCUGGAUACUUCGGCAAGAGGCGUGAUACCAUCGUGUGCACAUCGCGAAAAACUCAGAACCGAGUUCAGGAGCGCAGCACGACAUGGAUUUCAACACCUUCGACGAGGGAGACAAAGGAACAGCGUUACCCGGAUUUUCAACAAGCAACAAAAUUUAAAGUGAAAAAAAUCUAAAUUCAAAAUUCAAAAAUAUUUUUCCAAAUUUGAUAAGUUAAGUGAGUGUGUGUGUGAGUAAAAACAAAAUCAGCAAUUCGGAAAUCAUUUAAAUAAUUCAGCAUGAUCAGAUUAACUAAUUUGACAAAAGGAAAAAACACGAUUCAAAAUUUAUUUUUUUAGAAGGUGUGUGAGUGAUAAAAAAAAACAAAGAAAACCAUUUCAAAAUUAUGCAGCAAAAAAAAUUCAGUUAAUCGAGUGU